RNAcentral lists this ribosomal RNA (2925 nucleotides) under Escherichia coli. Its description in RNAcentral is "bacterial LSU rRNA". It matches the Rfam family "Bacterial large subunit ribosomal RNA". Lineage: Bacteria; Pseudomonadati; Pseudomonadota; Gammaproteobacteria; Enterobacterales; Enterobacteriaceae. The record is from RNAcentral.
GGGUUGUGAGGUUAAGCGACUAAGCGUACACGGUGGAUGCCCUGGCAGUCAGAGGCGAUGAAGGACGUGCUAAUCUGCGAUAAGCGUCGGUAAGGUGAUAUGAACCGUUAUAACCGGCGAUUUCCGAAUGGGGAAACCCAGUGUGUUUCGACACACUAUCAUUAACUGAAUCCAUAGGUUAAUGAGGCGAACCGGGGGAACUGAAACAUCUAAGUACCCCGAGGAAAAGAAAUCAACCGAGAUUCCCCCAGUAGCGGCGAGCGAACGGGGAGCAGCCCAGAGCCUGAAUCAGUGUGUGUGUUAGUGGAAGCGUCUGGAAAGGCGCGCGAUACAGGGUGACAGCCCCGUACACAAAAAUGCACAUACUGUGAGCUCGAUGAGUAGGGCGGGACACGUGGUAUCCUGUCUGAAUAUGGGGGGACCAUCCUCCAAGGCUAAAUACUCCUGACUGACCGAUAGUGAACCAGUACCGUGAGGGAAAGGCGAAAAGAACCCCGGCGAGGGGAGUGAAAAAGAACCUGAAACCGUGUACGUACAAGCAGUGGGAGCACGCUUAGGCGUGUGACUGCGUACCUUUUGUAUAAUGGGUCAGCGACUUAUAUUCUGUAGCAAGGUUAACCGAAUAGGGGAGCCGAAGGGAAACCGAGUCUUAACUGGGCGUUAAGUUGCAGGGUAUAGACCCGAAACCCGGUGAUCUAGCCAUGGGCAGGUUGAAGGUUGGGUAACACUAACUGGAGGACCGAACCGACUAAUGUUGAAAAAUUAGCGGAUGACUUGUGGCUGGGGGUGAAAGGCCAAUCAAACCGGGAGAUAGCUGGUUCUCCCCGAAAGCUAUUUAGGUAGCGCCUCGUGAAUUCAUCUCCGGGGGUAGAGCACUGUUUCGGCAAGGGGGUCAUCCCGACUUACCAACCCGAUGCAAACUGCGAAUACCGGAGAAUGUUAUCACGGGAGACACACGGCGGGUGCUAACGUCCGUCGUGAAGAGGGAAACAACCCAGACCGCCAGCUAAGGUCCCAAAGUCAUGGUUAAGUGGGAAACGAUGUGGGAAGGCCCAGACAGCCAGGAUGUUGGCUUAGAAGCAGCCAUCAUUUAAAGAAAGCGUAAUAGCUCACUGGUCGAGUCGGCCUGCGCGGAAGAUGUAACGGGGCUAAACCAUGCACCGAAGCUGCGGCAGCGACGCUUAUGCGUUGUUGGGUAGGGGAGCGUUCUGUAAGCCUGCGAAGGUGUGCUGUGAGGCAUGCUGGAGGUAUCAGAAGUGCGAAUGCUGACAUAAGUAACGAUAAAGCGGGUGAAAAGCCCGCUCGCCGGAAGACCAAGGGUUCCUGUCCAACGUUAAUCGGGGCAGGGUGAGUCGACCCCUAAGGCGAGGCCGAAAGGCGUAGUCGAUGGGAAACAGGUUAAUAUUCCUGUACUUGGUGUUACUGCGAAGGGGGGACGGAGAAGGCUAUGUUGGCCGGGCGACGGUUGUCCCGGUUUAAGCGUGUAGGCUGGUUUUCCAGGCAAAUCCGGAAAAUCAAGGCUGAGGCGUGAUGACGAGGCACUACGGUGCUGAAGCAACAAAUGCCCUGCUUCCAGGAAAAGCCUCUAAGCAUCAGGUAACAUCAAAUCGUACCCCAAACCGACACAGGUGGUCAGGUAGAGAAUACCAAGGCGCUUGAGAGAACUCGGGUGAAGGAACUAGGCAAAAUGGUGCCGUAACUUCGGGAGAAGGCACGCUGAUAUGUAGGUGAAGUCCCUCGCGGAUGGAGCUGAAAUCAGUCGAAGAUACCAGCUGGCUGCAACUGUUUAUUAAAAACACAGCACUGUGCAAACACGAAAGUGGACGUAUACGGUGUGACGCCUGCCCGGUGCCGGAAGGUUAAUUGAUGGGGUCAGCGCAAGCGAAGCUCUUGAUCGAAGCCCCGGUAAACGGCGGCCGUAACUAUAACGGUCCUAAGGUAGCGAAAUUCCUUGUCGGGUAAGUUCCGACCUGCACGAAUGGCGUAAUGAUGGCCAGGCUGUCUCCACCCGAGACUCAGUGAAAUUGAACUCGCUGUGAAGAUGCAGUGUACCCGCGGCAAGACGGAAAGACCCCGUGAACCUUUACUAUAGCUUGACACUGAACAUUGAGCCUUGAUGUGUAGGAUAGGUGGGAGGCUUUGAAGUGUGGACGCCAGUCUGCAUGGAGCCGACCUUGAAAUACCACCCUUUAAUGUUUGAUGUUCUAACGUGGACCCGUAAUCCGGGUUGCGGACAGUGUCUGGUGGGUAGUUUGACUGGGGCGGUCUCCUCCUAAAGAGUAACGGAGGAGCACGAAGGUUGGCUAAUCCUGGUCGGACAUCAGGAGGUUAGUGCAAUGGCAUAAGCCAGCUUGACUGCGAGCGUGACGGCGCGAGCAGGUGCGAAAGCAGGUCAUAGUGAUCCGGUGGUUCUGAAUGGAAGGGCCAUCGCUCAACGGAUAAAAGGUACUCCGGGGAUAACAGGCUGAUACCGCCCAAGAGUUCAUAUCGACGGCGGUGUUUGGCACCUCGAUGUCGGCUCAUCACAUCCUGGGGCUGAAGUAGGUCCCAAGGGUAUGGCUGUUCGCCAUUUAAAGUGGUACGCGAGCUGGGUUUAGAACGUCGUGAGACAGUUCGGUCCCUAUCUGCCGUGGGCGCUGGAGAACUGAGGGGGGCUGCUCCUAGUACGAGAGGACCGGAGUGGACGCAUCACUGGUGUUCGGGUUGUCAUGCCAAUGGCACUGCCCGGUAGCUAAAUGCGGAAGAGAUAAGUGCUGAAAGCAUCUAAGCACGAAACUUGCCCCGAGAUGAGUUCUCCCUGACUCCUUGAGAGUCCUGAAGGAACGUUGAAGACGACGACGUUGAUAGGCCGGGUGUGUAAGCGCAGCGAUGCGUUGAGCUAACCGGUACUAAUGAACCGUGAGGCUUAACCUUACAACGCCGAAG